Molecule: ribosomal RNA, 182 nt
Filed under: uncultured bacterium
Lineage: Bacteria
Description: partial 16S ribosomal RNA
Rfam family: Bacterial small subunit ribosomal RNA
Source: RNAcentral
CAUGAAGUCGGAAUUGCUAGUAAUCGCGGAUCAGCAUGCCGCGGUGAAUACGUUCCCGGGCCUUGUACACACCGCCCGUCACACCAUGGGGGGCCGGUAAUACCCGAAGUCAGUAGUCCAACCACGUGAGGACGCUGCCGAAGGUAGGAUUGGCGACUGGGGUGAAGUCGUAACAAGGUAGC